This 898-nucleotide ribosomal RNA is filed under the name uncultured archaeon. RNAcentral's name for it is "bacterial SSU rRNA". It matches the Rfam family "Archaeal small subunit ribosomal RNA", at positions 125 to 998 of the family's 1478-position model. The record is from RNAcentral.
CAUAACCCCGGGAAACUGGGUAUAAUACCCGAUAGGUCUCGAUUGCUGGAAUGCAUCGAGAUUUAAAGCUCCGGCGCCUGAGGAUGGGUCUGCGGCCUAUCAGGUAGUAGUGGGUGUAGCGUACCUACUAGCCUACGACGGGUACGGGUUGUGAGAGAAAGAGCCCGGAGAUGGAUUCUGAGACACGAAUCCAGGCCCUACGGGGUGCAGCAGGCGCGAAAACUUUACAAUGCUGGCAACAGCGAUAAGGGAACCUCGAGUGCCAGGUUACAAAUCUGGCUGUCGAGAUGCCUAAAAAGCAUUUCAUAGCAAGGGCCGGGCAAGACCGGUGCCAGCCGCCGCGGUAACACCGGCGGCUCGAGUGGUAACCGUUAUUAUUGGGUCUAAAGGGUCUGUAGCCGGCCGGAUAAGUCUCUUGAGAAAUCUGGCAGCUUAACUGUCAGGCUUUCAGGAGAUACUGUCUGGCUCGAGGCCGGGAGAGGUGAGAGGUACUUCACGGGGUAGGGGUGAAAUCUUGUAAUCCUUGAAGGACCACCAGUGACGAAGCGUCUCACCAGAACGGACCUGACGGCAAGGGACGAAAGCUAGGGGCACGAACCGGGAUUAGAUACCCGGGUAGUCCUAGCCGUAGACGAUACUCGCUAGGUGUCGGCCACGGUGCGACCGCUGUCGGUGCCGUAGGGAAGCCGUGAAGCGAGCCACCUGGGAAGUACCGGCCGCCAAGGCCUGAACUUAAAGGGAAUUGGGCGGGGGGGAGCCACCCACUAUCGGGGUGGGAGCUUGCCUGUUUUAAUUGGAUUCCAACGCCGGAAAUCCUUACCUGGGACCGACCAGGCCAAUAUUGAAUGUCCAAGGCCUGAAGACUUUGCCUGGAAUUAACCUGAAAAGGGUGGGUGCC